GCUCUACUAGUUUCAAUGUUACUGCAUGCACUGGCAUGAAAGCUUUAGCCUGGCCUCACAUCUGUAUGUGCUUUUAUCAACUCUGACAGGCUGAGGAGUAAUCUGGGGAGAAGGUACAUCUAGUUGAGGAGUAGUCUGGGGUGAAGGUAACUCUGGCUGAGGAGUAGUCUGGGGAGAAGGUAACUCUUGCUGGGGAGUAGUCUGGGGUGAAGGUAACUCUGGCUGAGGAGUAGUCUGGGGUGAAAGUAACUCUGGCUGGGGAGUAGUCUGGGGUGAAGGUAACUGGCUGGGGAGUAGUCUGGGGUGAAGGUAACUGGCUGGGGAGUAGUCUGGGGAGAAGGUAACUCUGGCUGGGGAGUAAUCUGGGGUGAAGGUAACUUUGGCUGAGUAGUCUGGGGAGAAAGUAACUCUGGCUGGGGAGUAGUCUGGGGAGAAGGUAACUCUGGCUGGGGAGUAAUCUGGGGAGUAGUCUGGGGAGAAGGUAACUCUGGCUGGGGAGUAGUCUGGGGAGAAGGUAACUCUGGCUGGAGAGUAGUCUGGGGAGAAGGCGGAAGCAUAUACAGACCAGGCUAUGACAUCUUGGGGAUCGGUCACAAACUAGGAAACUAUUUUCUUCUAAUCAGGGCCUAACUAUUAUGGAUAUUAGUCCUUCUAUACUGGGGAUGUGAAGGGUGGAGGGUACUACUGCACUACUCUGAAGAUCUGUAUUUCAGUUUGGCCUAUAUACAGUGGGGCAAAAAAGUAUUUAGUCAGCCACUAAUUGUGCAAGUUCUCCCACCUAAAAAGAUGAG
Long non-coding RNA from Oncorhynchus tshawytscha (Chinook salmon), 791 nucleotides. The record is from Ensembl. NCBI's taxonomy places the organism in Eukaryota, Metazoa, Chordata, Actinopteri, Salmoniformes, Salmonidae.